UACGUAGGGUGCAAGCGUUGUCCGGAAUUAUUGGGCGUAAAGAGCUCGUAGGCGGUCUGUCGCGUCGGCUGUGAAAACCCGGGGCUCAACCCCGGGCCUGCAGUCGAUACGGGCAGACUAGAGUGCGGUAGGGGAGACUGGAAUUCCUGGUGUAGCGGUGAAAUGCGCAGAUAUCAGGAGGAACACCGGUGGCGAAGGCGGCGAUCUGGGUCGAUACUGACGCUGAGGUGCGAAAGCGUGGGGAGCAAACAGG
RNAcentral lists this ribosomal RNA (253 nucleotides) under uncultured bacterium. Its description in RNAcentral is "partial 16S ribosomal RNA". It matches the Rfam family "Bacterial small subunit ribosomal RNA", at positions 524 to 776 of the family's 1533-position model. The record is from RNAcentral.